UACAGAGGUCCCAAGCGUUGUUCGGAUUCACUGGGCGUAAAGGGUGCGUAGGCGGUCGGGUAAGUCUGACGUGAAAUCUCCGGGCCUAACCCGGAAACUGCGUUGGAAACUGCCUGGCUAGAGGAAUGGAGGGGAGACUGGAAUACUUGGUGUAGCAGUAAAAUGCGUAGAUAUCAAGUGGAACACCAGUGGCGAAGGCGAGUCUCUGGACAUUUCCUGACGCUGAGGCACGAAAGCCAGGGGAGCAAACGGG
RNAcentral lists this ribosomal RNA (253 nucleotides) under uncultured bacterium. RNAcentral's name for it is "partial 16S ribosomal RNA". It matches the Rfam family "Bacterial small subunit ribosomal RNA", at positions 524 to 776 of the family's 1533-position model. The record is from RNAcentral.